CCCUGGCCCGCGUGUGUGCAGGGCGGUGCAGAGGCAGCAUGUGCCUGUAGCGCUCUCUAGAUAUAGGAGCACGUGGCUUGUGUGGUAGUAGUAGUGAUUGCAGUAGGAGGUGGUGCCGGUGGUGGUGUUUUGUAUGAUGGUUCUUGACAGACUGCACGGCUGCUGCUCGGUGGGUGAGAUAAUAGUUGCACAUCCAAUUAAUAUGAUUCUCAUUUAUGUGCUAUUUAUUAAUCAAUGAUUUAUACUUCUUGUUGGCUAAUUGCUGUUGGCUCACUGCACUACGGUUGGGUUCUAGCCACGUUAUAAGGUGUUGAGACAUUUGAUGAGUAGUAUAUUCAAUGAUCCUUGGCGAUAAUUGGCUAAGCUAACAUGCAACUGCUAUCUCACCUCAAUCUGAAACUAUUAGAAACUGCAUGCAUAAGGAAUGAUGGUAGAGUGCUUAAUGGUGCACGCGGCAGUAGUUUUAUUUUCUGAUCUUCCCCAAUCUGCUAUCCCUCAACAUUGUUGUAUUAUUUUGUUCCGGUCACACUCAAUUACUGUUUCCUCAUAUGCAUGCAUGAGACAUGACUGAAAUGCACACUUAACCAUUUGUCAAACACAUUUUUAAAGAACACAAAUCAAAGGCGUGAAAGUUCUUCUCAAGCCUUAUCAAGGCGGGCUGGUCCAAGGCGGGGCCAUAUCAAGGCAGGGUGGUUCAAGGUGGGGUGGUUCAAGGCGGGGCCUUAUCAAGGCGGGCUGGUCCAAGGCGGGUCCUUAUCAAGGUAGGGUGGUUCAAGGUGGGGCCUUAUCAAGGUGGGGUGGUUCAAGGCGGGGCCUUAUCAAGGCGGGCUGGUCCAAGGCGGGUCCUUAUCAAGGCAGGGUGGGUCAAGGCAGGGUGAUUAAAGGCAAGGUGGUUUAAGGCGGGGCCUUUUCAAGGCGGGGCUGUACAAGGCAGGGCGCGUCAAGGCGGGGGUGUUCAAGGCGGAAGGUUCAAGGUGGAAGGUUCGAGGCAGGUUGGUUCAAGGCGGGGCUGUUGCAUGUUUAUUCCCCCUCGCCUUCCGUAUAAAACGUUGAAGCUCUGAAUUUGAGGGCAUUUUUGUUCCGCCUUUAAGUGAGCAGCAGGCUUAUCCGAAUUGAGAGUUAAAGGAGUGAACCAGCAUGGUGGGGUGGGGGGGGGACAUUCUGAUGACGUGUUGUAUGUAUGACCUGCCACUGGGAAAUUGAACUGAAGAACCCAGAGACUAGUGAACGACUGUCCACAGUGUCUUAGGUCUGCCGCGCACCUUUCUGCCUGCAACCGCACACUGCUUUUCUCCAAGUUCUCCAUCCACGGGUUUCUGAUUGCAGAAACACGUUGCUCGCACGUUGCUUCCGCCAUUGUUGCAUCGCACAUCAACAUAUUGUACAUGAUGCACAGCGACUUUGCUUGCUUUUUGAAGUGUGGUAUGAAUGUGCAUUGCUAGCACUUGCACCUCACCACUCGGUUCACACUCGAUGUUCACAGUCUGUCCUGUUGUUUAGAGGUAAUGUCGUUAAACGUCACGCCUCUGAUUCUGGAGGAAAAAAAACAGAACAAUGAAGGACCUUCUUUAUGGCAGUUGCUGGAUCUUUGUGUAAGGGACUGCUCCACAUAA
Molecule: long non-coding RNA, 1613 nt
Organism: Gadus macrocephalus (Pacific cod)
Lineage: Eukaryota; Metazoa; Chordata; Actinopteri; Gadiformes; Gadidae
Exons: 2
Source: RefSeq, a predicted model, not a curated record